RNAcentral lists this long non-coding RNA (696 nucleotides) under Medicago truncatula (barrel medic). Its description in RNAcentral is "lncRNA gene8706". Lineage: Eukaryota; Viridiplantae; Streptophyta; Magnoliopsida; Fabales; Fabaceae. The record is from RNAcentral.
GUUUCACUCAUAAGUGAUCAUAUAACAAUUCUUUCAUAUAUAUUUUUCUCCCUCAUGACUUUUGGUACAGCAUUCCCCCUAGACUAUAACUAACAACAAUAUGUGACAAAGAUCCAUGUAUGAAUGCUUAAUUUGACAUGAAUUGGAGUAUGACCAAACGCACACAUGUGUAAAGUGUGUUUUUUUUCCUUCUUUUUUUCUUAUGUUUGAUGCACGAGUUUUGUAGAGUUUCAUACAUAUAGUAUGAAAUUGACUAUAUUAUUUCUUGUCACCUUAUUUAACAACUAAAUGAAUGUUACGAAAAAUUGCUACGUGAUCAAAGUCAUUAAAAUUUGAGUCGUCAUAAAAACUUUAGUUUCUCCCCGUUUAUUUACCAAAGAGAUUUGAUCCUAAAUCAUGUCUCUAACUCGUUUUUCUUUUUCCCUUGUAUUGAAAUAAAUGUUUUUCACAAGUAUUUCAUUUUUUAUUUUGUGAUUUCAUCGUCUUAGUGUGACGUUGGUUUGUUCGUUGUCUUCGUAAGGAGUUGUUUGUCUUUUUUGUUUCGUUUAGAUAUUUGUUCGGUUAGUGCAGAUCCAAUCAAUGACAUUGAUGUCGUCCACAUUGUAGAUCCGGAAACUUGAAUAUAGUCAUAUGUAUUCAUUCUUUUUAUUUUUAGCGAAUUUGCAUUAUAUCGAUGUACUUUAUCAAUUUGAAUGA